Molecule: ribosomal RNA, 441 nt
Filed under: uncultured bacterium
Lineage: Bacteria
Description: partial 16S ribosomal RNA
Rfam family: Bacterial small subunit ribosomal RNA
Source: RNAcentral
GAUGAACGCUGGCGGCGUGCCUAAUACAUGCAAGUCGAACGGGGAGUAGCAAUACUCUUAGUGGCGAACGGGUGAGUAACGCGUUGGUACCUGCCCCGAAGCGGGGGAUAACGGACCGAAAGGUCCGCUAAUACCCCAUGUGCUCGGUAACGAGUAAAGGUGAAAACCACUUUGGGAGGGGCCUGCGUCCCAUCAGCUAGUUGGUAAGGUAACGGCUUACCAAGGCGAUGACGGGUAGGGGACCUGAGAGGGUGGCCCCCCACAAUGGAACUGAAACACGGUCCAUACACCUACGGGGGGCAGCAGUAGGGAAUAUUGGUAAUGGGCGCAAGACUGAACCAGCAACGCCGCGUGUGCGAUGACGGCCUUCGGGUUGUAAAGCACUUUUGACUGGGACGAGGAAGGACGGUACCGGUCGAAUCAGCCUCGGCUAACUACGUG